Long non-coding RNA from Leopardus geoffroyi (Geoffroy's cat), 345 nucleotides. RefSeq lists it as uncharacterized. The record is from RefSeq and is a predicted model, not a curated record. The transcript has 3 exons. NCBI's taxonomy places the organism in Eukaryota, Metazoa, Chordata, Mammalia, Carnivora, Felidae.
GCUCUUUCCAUACACGACGAGGCCUCUUCUGGUUCGGGCGGUUACGCGGCUCCUUCGAGAGAAGGUGGCCCAUAUAGAAGGCCCCGAGGAGGGGGACCGGGACAGGGAAGUAAGGAGGCCCCGAAAGGCGAGCUCCGGCAGCGGGGCAGGCCGCUCUCUGGCUCGGCCUCAGGCCCGCUGCGGGGUCGCCCGCCCUGCGCACACACACGCACACACGGGCACACACGCGACGGUGGGGGGUGGGCGUCAGCUGCGGGCCGCCCGGGCGCCCGACGGGGGCUACAUGCUUUGCCCCGGGAAGCCGGGAGAACGAUGGGCGCGAGCUUUGGGGACGCGACGGAGGGA